UUUAAAUUAAGAAACAAUUAUUUGUAUUCAAUUUCGAUUUGAAAUUUUGAUUUUUAAUCCUUU
Molecule: transfer RNA, 63 nt
Filed under: Pambolus sp. QL-2013
Lineage: Eukaryota; Metazoa; Arthropoda; Insecta; Hymenoptera; Braconidae
Description: tRNA-Arg
Source: RNAcentral